CAGCAAGCACCUAGACUUCAUGACGAUCUUCUUGGCGAGUUCUGAUGAGCUUCUUUGGCAAGCUCCUGGACUUCUCGGUUGGUUCCGACAGAACUUCCGACGAAUGUUCGGACUUCCGACUAACUCUCAAACUCCCAACAAAAUCAUGCAUAAGAAAUCUCAAGUUAUAAAUCUAGAAAAAUCAAGAUAAAGCUCAUUCAAAUUCAAAUCAUCAAAUCAAA
RNAcentral lists this long non-coding RNA (221 nucleotides) under Musa acuminata (dwarf banana). RNAcentral's name for it is "long non-coding RNA (MACU_LNC011349)". The record is from RNAcentral. Lineage: Eukaryota; Viridiplantae; Streptophyta; Magnoliopsida; Zingiberales; Musaceae.